RNAcentral lists this ribosomal RNA (495 nucleotides) under uncultured bacterium. RNAcentral's name for it is "partial 16S ribosomal RNA". It matches the Rfam family "Bacterial small subunit ribosomal RNA", at positions 28 to 505 of the family's 1533-position model. The record is from RNAcentral.
GAUGAACGCUGGCGGCGUGCCUAAUACAUGCAAGUCGAGCGAACAGACGAGGAGCUUGCUCCUCUGACGUUAGCGGCGGACGGGUGAGUAACACGUGGAUAACCUACCUAUAAGACUGGGAUAACUUCGGGAAACCGGAGCUAAUACCGGAUAAUAUAUUGAACCGCAUGGUUCAAUAGUGAAAGACGGUUUUGCUGUCACUUAUAGAUGGAUCCGCGCCGCAUUAGCUAGUUGGUAAGGUAACGGCUUACCAAGGCAACGAUGCGUAGCCGACCUGAGAGGGAGAUCGGCCACACUGGAACUGAGACACGGUACAGACUCCUACGGGAGGCAGCAGUAGGGAAUCUGCCGAAAGGGGCGAAAGCUUGACGGAGCAACGCCGCGUGAGUGAUGAAGGUCUUCGGAUCGUAAAACUCUGUUAUUAGGGAAGAAGAAAUGUGUAAGUAACUAUGCGUGUCUUGACGGUACCUAAUCAGAAAGCCGCGGAUAACUACG